AUGGAUGAGGACUCUCUGACCACAGUGUCAGUCACGCCAUUGAUGGCCAGGGUUGAUUGGCCUCACCUGGCCGUCUAGGUGGGCGUUUUCUUGCUCCUUCAACACUAUAUGUGUGUUCUUCCCCACUGCAUGCUAGAUUGAAGAGGACAAUUGCUCCCUAUACUAGAAGCCUCUUCUUUGGUCAAGUGCUUACCAAUAACUGUGACCCCCGCUGGAAAUUAUACAAACAAGCUCUCAAGGUAUCAUUCCUAUUGAUCAUGUUUGUACUAGCAUAGAGUUGAGUACCUUGAUCUGAGCCAUUGUAAGUUGGGGACCAUCUACAAAGU
RNAcentral lists this small nuclear RNA (326 nucleotides) under Peromyscus maniculatus bairdii (prairie deer mouse). RNAcentral describes it as "7SK RNA (ENSPEMG00000002337.2)". It matches the Rfam family "7SK RNA". From Rfam's summary of the family: 7SK was discovered as an abundant small nuclear RNA in the mid-70s but a possible function has only recently been suggested. Two independent studies have found that 7SK RNA binds the CDK9/cyclin T complex (known as elongation factor P-TEFb). P-TEFb activates transcription by phosphorylating the C-terminal domain of RNA polymerase II. The record is from RNAcentral. Lineage: Eukaryota; Metazoa; Chordata; Mammalia; Rodentia; Cricetidae.